This 97-nucleotide microRNA precursor is filed under the name Cavia porcellus (domestic guinea pig). RNAcentral's name for it is "miRNA (ENSCPOG00000031252.1)". The record is from RNAcentral. Lineage: Eukaryota; Metazoa; Chordata; Mammalia; Rodentia; Caviidae.
UGCGUGUAUGUAUGUGUGCAUGCACAUGUGUGUUUUACAUGCAUAAUACACAUAACCAGGUGCACACGUACACACACAUAUACAUAUUGGCUUAAAU